GCGGCGAUGGUGGAAGUGGUAGACACGCUAGCUUGAGGUGCUAGUGCCUUAACGGGCAUGCUGGUUCAAGUCCAGUUCGCCGCA
RNAcentral lists this transfer RNA (84 nucleotides) under Breznakiella homolactica. It matches the Rfam family "tRNA". From Rfam's summary of the family: Transfer RNA (tRNA) molecules are approximately 80 nucleotides in length. Their secondary structure includes four short double-helical elements and three loops (D, anti-codon, and T loops). Lineage: Bacteria; Pseudomonadati; Spirochaetota; Spirochaetia; Treponematales; Breznakiellaceae. The record is from Rfam by way of RNAcentral.